AACGAACGCUGGCGGCAUGCCUAACACAUGCAAGUCGAACGAGACCUUCGGGUCUAGUGGCGCACGGGUGCGUAACGCGUGGGAACCUGCCCUUAGGGUCGGAAUAACUCCCCGAAAGGGGUGCUAAUACCGGAUAAUGUCUUCGGACCAAAGAUUUAUCGCGUUUGGAUGGGCCCGCGUUGGAUUAGCUGGUUGGUAGGGUAAAAGCCUACCAAGGCGACGAUCCAUAGCUGGUCUGAGAGGAUGAUCAGCGACACUGGGACUGAGACACGGCCCAGACUCCUACGGGAGGCAGCAGUGGGGAAUAUUGGACAAUGGGCGAAGGCCUGAUGCAGCAAUGCCGCGUGAGUGAUGAAGGCCUUAGGGUUGUAAAGCUCUUUUACCCGGGAUGAUAAUGACAGUACCGGGAGAAUAAGCCCCGGCUAACUCCGUG
Molecule: ribosomal RNA, 433 nt
Filed under: uncultured bacterium
Lineage: Bacteria
Description: partial 16S ribosomal RNA
Rfam family: Bacterial small subunit ribosomal RNA
Source: RNAcentral